This 559-nucleotide ribosomal RNA is filed under the name uncultured bacterium. RNAcentral's name for it is "bacterial SSU rRNA". It matches the Rfam family "Bacterial small subunit ribosomal RNA", at positions 102 to 674 of the family's 1533-position model. The record is from RNAcentral.
ACGGGUGAGUAACACGUGGGUGAUCUGCCCUGCACUUCGGGAUAAGCUUGGGAAACUGGGUCUAAUACCGGAUAUACCUCAUUGAUCGCAUGGUUGGUGGGGGAAAGCUUUUGCGGUGUGGGAUGGGCCCGCGGCCUAUCAGCUUGUUGGUGGGGUGAUGGCCUACCAAGGCGUCGACGGGUAGCCGGCCUGAGAGGGUGUCCGGCCACACUGGGACUGAGAUACGGCCCAGACUCCUACGGGAGGCAGCAGUGGGGAAUAUUGCACAAUGGGCGCAAGCCUGAUGCAGCGACGCCGCGUGGGGGAUGACGGCCUUCGGGUUGUAAACCUCUUUCAGUAGGGACGAAGCGCAAGUGACGGUACCUACAGAAGAAGCACCGGCCAACUACGUGCCAGCAGCCGCGGUAAUACGUAGGGUGCGAGCGUUGUCCGGAAUUACUGGGCGUAAAGAGCUUGUAGGUGGUUUGUCGCGUUGUUCGUGAAAUCUCACGGCUUAACUGUGAGCGUGCGGGCGAUACGGGCAGACUAGAGUACUGCAGGGGAGACUGGAAUUCCUGGU